This 313-nucleotide long non-coding RNA is filed under the name Mytilus galloprovincialis (Mediterranean mussel). The record is from RNAcentral. Lineage: Eukaryota; Metazoa; Mollusca; Bivalvia; Mytilida; Mytilidae.
GGGGCCUUUUAUAGCUCACUAUGCGGUAUGGGCUUUGCUCAGUCAUUGUUGAGCUAUAGUUGUUAAUGUCUGUGUUAUUUUGGUCUUUUGUGGAUAGUUGUCUCAUUGGCAAUCAUACCACAUCUUCUUUUUUAUAUUGGGCUGUUUUGUGCUUUGUUGGGGUUGUUAUCACUAUGACACAUUCACCAUUUCUAUCUCAUUAUUAUUUUCUUUGAAAUGAUGAUCAUUUCUUAUGCAAUUUUUCCAAUACUCAGGGUAAAAUUUUGAUCCAUACAAAUGACAAGUUUAUUCUUUCCAAAAAACAAAACAAAAA